GGACUAGUGUUUCGGUGUUGAGACGCGGAGUAACAACAGGAGACGGAGGCCGCUCUGCGGGCAGGAGACGGAGGCCGCUCUGCUGGACUGGGAAGGCGCCGUCUUGGAGUGGCGGAACGUCAAGGAAGGAAGGGAGGGGUAGGGAAGAAGGAGGAAAGGACGGGUGGAAUCUGCCGGCGAUCGAGCGCACGGCUCGACGCUGCUCACAAAACGGCUGAGCUACCCAAAGACGGCCGUCGCGAGAAAAGACCUGGUAAGCGUGACCUCGACGCUGCUGCCUCCACGUGCGGCGUCCCACGACGUUGACUGCUACGAAGUUGGCCGUCCCUUUAGACGAUGUUAGCUACGUCUAAAAACAAUGUUGGUUCGCCCGCGCAGGUGGAGGGUGCUGCGACGAUACCGCUCGGGGAGCAGAGGUGGACGGGGGCAAGACGAGGCUACUCACUGCGCAGAGGUGGACACGACCUUGCCGCCGAGGUAGCACGUGAUCGAAUACUCUACGGCCUUAGCCGGCACCACCUUCGGCGUCAGCUACCGUAAAAAACGAUGUAGACCAAUGAUGAAAACGACCUUAAUCGUUGUAAAAAACGAUGUUAGGUGUAAAAUUUCACGAAAAACGACCUUGCCGAGGGUUUAAAACGAAGGUACCAAAACAAAAAACGAUGUUGGCAACGUAGGGGACAGAAAAACUAAAAAAAAAAGAGGUAGGUAGAAAUACGACCUUGCUAAGGUUCAAAACGAUGGUAGCAGAAAAUAAAAACGGUGGAGGCGGAAUCAAAAACGAUGGUAGGAAAAAAAACUAAAAAAACGUCCUAGGUAUUAAAACGACCUUGGUGAGAUUAAAAACGAUGGUGCCAGAAACUUAAAACGAUGGUGGCAGAAGCAGAAGUAUAAAACGAUGAUGGAACAAAAACUACACAAAACAAGCUAGGUAGAAAAACGACCUUAGUGAAGUUUUAAAACAAUGGCAGCAAAACAAAAAACGAAGGUGACGGAAACUAAACACGAUGGCGGACAGAAAAACUAAAAAACCUAGAUAUCAUAACAACCUUGGUCGAUAAAUAAGACAACUUUGGUCGCUAAAAAAACAAUCUUGUUGAAGAAAGGUCUGCCCCUGCUCGUAGCCGUCACUCGGUUCAGCCUCCCCCUGAAGUUAAACAGUCGCCCUGCCCGCGUCCCGUGCCGGAACGCUCACCUGCAGAAAAAAAAAGCAUGCCGCUUCCUUUUUUUACAACGCCCUAGGUUAGCUCGCCAACACCUACAUACAUAGCCCGCCGACCCCCGGCUGGCCGGCUUUCAUAAGCCGGCCGCGUGGCCGCGGAUCACCACCGGAAACUCCUUAUCGAAACCUGUUCCAAAAAGCCUGCCUCCCUCAUCCUUCAAAUAACGAUCAAUAAAGAAAACUUGCCUGCCUACGAUCGAUCGAUCGAUCUCGGAGUUCAACAACUCGGCCCAGACACACAACCUGUGCGUCUCGUAGAGGAGGCGGAACUGCGAGAACAUGGCGCCGCCCGGCGAGGGCAGCUGCUGGUGGCCCCGCGUGUGGCAGCGCGGCAGGCGGGACUUCUUCGUGCGGUGGCUGUGGGCGCCGGGGUGCGAGGACCUGUGGUGCGCCACGUGGCCCGAGAACUUGGACAGCAACCUGUGGUCGACGUCCUUCAGCGGGUGCAAGUGGUGGUCGCUGCGGAGGGGGCAGCGGCCGUGCAGGUGGGUGCGGCUUGCGAGCGGCGGCGGCAGGAGCUCCCCCAGCAGGUGCUCGUGGACCUCCGGCGGGUGCGGCAGGACCUCGUCGUGCCACUCCUUCGACCCCAGGCUCACGCCCUGCCACGGGUAGCACUCCACGCCGAGGCCCGUGCGGCCCAUCAUCACCGGGCGGUGCGAGUCGCGGCGGUACGUCGGCCGGAGGAGGAGGUCCAUCCGUGCCGCUCCGUCGGGGUCCCGGAGGCUGUCGUCGAGCUUCUCCGGCGCGGGGUCGGCGGCGUAGACGGGGCACAUGAGGCCGCGCUGCGGGGAGUCGCGGCCGCCCUCCUCCUCGAGGAGGAGGCAGAGGAGCGGGCGGCGGCCGGCCAGGCGCAGCAGGUACAUGUGCCACAGCGCGGUGAACGGGUGGUCGCAGACCUUGUCCAGGCGCAACGUCGACAUCGCGUGCGCGGAGCGGCGGAGGGCGCACAUCAUGCCGCGGAACCGGAGGCGGCCGAGGAGCAACUUCGCGGCGUGGCGGCGGUCGUAGGGGUUGUACCGGCGGAGGCCGUGCGGCACCAAGCAGUCGUCCUUCUUCGGGUGGCAGAGGCGGCGCCGGGAGUGGCGCGGCUGGUGCAGGCUCGCGACCGUCCUCUCCAGCUGCUGGCCCUGCCGCUGCAGCCACCGCUCUCACCUGCCCCGCUUCCGCAGCCCACCCACCACCUUCUACCGGCCCUACCGCCACCGCGGCCGCAGCUGCUCCGGGAACUGCGGCCGGAACCACAGCAGCUUCCGGGCCUCGCGCGACUCCGCCAGCCUCCGGUAACGGCGAGCUACUUCCGUCGAUCGGUCGAGAGUGUCAGCCACACGACUGUGCGCAUACAUACAUAUCCUCAUUCCGACCACUACCCACUCACUAGCUAGCCACAGUACGUUCCACACGUACAGAACAGACAUAGCUACCACCGCGCACUCGUACGCACGUAGUUAACAGAACAAACGCACGGGGUAGCUGUACUGAAAAUGGAUCAUCCUCAUAUUGUUGUGAUCAUCUCAUCCUCGUACCUACAGCUGUGGUAGCAGAAACCUAUGGAAGACUUUCCCGCUACUAGACGCGGCCGGA
This 2803-nucleotide ribosomal RNA is filed under the name Triticum aestivum (bread wheat). RNAcentral's name for it is "partial small subunit ribosomal RNA". Lineage: Eukaryota; Viridiplantae; Streptophyta; Magnoliopsida; Poales; Poaceae. The record is from RNAcentral.